RNAcentral lists this ribosomal RNA (599 nucleotides) under uncultured bacterium. RNAcentral describes it as "bacterial SSU rRNA". It matches the Rfam family "Bacterial small subunit ribosomal RNA", at positions 884 to 1482 of the family's 1533-position model. The record is from RNAcentral.
GGCCGCAAGGUUAAAACUCAAAUGAAUUGACGGGGGCCCGCACAAGCGGUGGAGCAUGUGGUUUAAUUUGACGCAACGCGAAGAACCUUACCAGGUCUUGACAUCCUGCGAACUUUCUAGAGAUAGAUUGGUGCCUUCGGGAACGCAGUGACAGGUGCUGCAUGGCUGUCGUCAGCUCGUGUCGUGAGAUGUUGGGUUAAGUCCCGUAACGAGCGCAACCCUUGUCCUUAGUUGCCAGCACAUAAUGGUGGGAACUCUAAGGAGACUGCCGGUGACAAACCGGAGGAAGGUGGGGACGACGUCAAGUCAUCAUGGCCCUUACGACCUGGGCUACACACGUGCUACAAUGGCCAGUACAGAGGGCUGCUAACCCGUGAGGGGGCGCUAAUCUCAUAAAGCUGGUCGUAGUCCGGAUCGCAGUCUGCAACUCGACUGCGUGAAGUUGGAAUCGCUAGUAAUCGCGAAUCAGAAUGUCGCGGUGAAUACGUUCCCGGGCCUUGUACACACCGCCCGUCACACCAUGGGAGUGGGUUGCAAAAGAAGUAGCUAGGCUAACCUUCGGGAGGCCGGUUACCACUUUGUGAUUCAUGACUGGGGUG